GUGGGGAAUAUUGGACAAUGGGCGAAAGCCUGAUCCAGCCAUGCCGCGUGUGUGAAGAAGGUCUUCGGAUUGUAAAGCACUUUAAGUUGGGAGGAAGGGCAGUAAGUUAAUACCUUGCUGUUUUGACGUUACCAACAGAAUAAGCACCGGCUAACUUCGUGCCAGCAGCCGCGGUAAUACGAAGGGUGCAAGCGUUAAUCGGAAUUACUGGGCGUAAAGCGCGCGUAGGUGGUUCAGCAAGUUGGAGGUGAAAUCCCCGGGCUCAACCUGGGAACUGCCUCCAAAACUACUGAGCUAGAGUACGGUAGAGGGUAGUGGAAUUUCCUGUGUAGCGGUGAAAUGCGUAGAUAUAGGAAGGAACACCAGUGGCGAAGGCGACUACCUGGACUGAUACUGACACUGAGGUGCGAAAGCGUGGGGAGCAAACAGGAUUAGCAACCCUGGUAGUCC
This 450-nucleotide ribosomal RNA is filed under the name uncultured bacterium. Its description in RNAcentral is "partial 16S ribosomal RNA". It matches the Rfam family "Bacterial small subunit ribosomal RNA", at positions 354 to 796 of the family's 1533-position model. The record is from RNAcentral.